GACGAACGCUGGCGGCGUGCUUAACACAUGCAAGUCGAACGGAAAGGCCCUGCUUUUGUGGGGUGCUCGAGUGGCGAACGGGUGAGUAACACGUGAGUAACCUGCCCUUGACUUUGGGAUAACUUCAGGAAACUGGGGCUAAUACCGGAUAGGAGCUCCUGCUGCAUGGUGGGGGUUGGAAAGUUUCGGCGGUUGGGGAUGGACUCGCGGCUUAUCAGCUUGUUGGUGGGGUAGUGGCUUACCAAGGCUUUGACGGGUAGCCGGCCUGAGAGGGUGACCGGCCACAUUGGGACUGAGAUACGGCCCAGACUCCUACGGGAGGCAGCAGUGGGGAAUAUUGCACAAUGGGCGGAAGCCUGAUGCAGCAACGCCGCGCGCGGGAUGACGGCCUUCGGGUUGUAAACCGCUUUCGCCUGUGACGAAGCGUGAGUGACGGUAAUGGGUAAAGAAGCACCGGCUAACUACGUGCCAGCAGCCGCGGUGAUACGUAGGGUGCGAGCGUUGUCCGGAUUUAUUGGGCGUAAAGGGCUCGUAGGUGGUUGAUCGCGUCGGAAGUGUAAUCUUGGGGCUUAACCCUGAGCGUGCUUUCGAUACGGGUUGACUUGAGGAAGGUAGGGGAGAAUGGAAUUCCUGGUGGAGCGGUGGAAUGCGCAGAUAUCAGGAGGAACACCAGUGGCGAAGGCGGUUCUCUGGGCCUUUCCUGACGCUGAGGAGCGAAAGCGUGGGGAGCGAACAGGCUUAGAUACCCUGGUAGUCCACGCUGUAAACGGUGGGUACUAGGUGUGGGGUCCAUUCCACGGGUUCCGUGCCGUAGCUAACGCUUUAAGUACCCUGCCUGGGGAGUACGGCCGCAAGGCUAAAACUCAAAGGAAUUGACGGGGCCCCGCACAAGCGGCGGAGCAUGCGGAUUAAUUCGAUGCAACGCGUAGAACCUUACCUGGGUUUGACAUGGAUCGGGAGCGCUCAGAGAUGGGUGUGCCUCUUUUGGGGUCGGUUCACAGGUGGUGCAUGGCUGUCGUCAGCUCGUGUCGUGAGAUGUUGGGUUAAGUCCCGCAACGAGCGCAACCCUUGUUCACUGUUGCCAGCACGUUAUGGUGGGGACUCAGUGGAGACCGCCGGGGUCAACUCGGAGGAAGGUGGGGAUGACGUCAAGUCAUCAUGCCCCUUAUGUCCAGGGCUUCACGCAUGCUACAAUGGCUGGUACAGAGAGUGGCGAGCCUGUGAGGGUGAGCGAAUCUCGGAAAGCCGGUCUCAGUUCGGAUUGGGGUCUGCAACUCGACCUCAUGAAGUCGGAGUCGCUAGUAAUCGCAGAUCAGCAACGCUGCGGUGAAUACGUUCCCGGG
RNAcentral lists this ribosomal RNA (1343 nucleotides) under uncultured bacterium. Its description in RNAcentral is "16S ribosomal RNA". It matches the Rfam family "Bacterial small subunit ribosomal RNA", at positions 28 to 1378 of the family's 1533-position model. The record is from RNAcentral.